This 547-nucleotide ribosomal RNA is filed under the name uncultured bacterium. RNAcentral's name for it is "partial 16S ribosomal RNA". It matches the Rfam family "Bacterial small subunit ribosomal RNA", at positions 355 to 895 of the family's 1533-position model. The record is from RNAcentral.
UGGGGAAUUUUGGACAAUGGGGGAAACCCUGAUCCAGCCAUCCCGCGUGUGCGAUGAAGGCCUUCGGGUUGUAAAGCACUUUUGGCAGGAAAGAAACGUCGCGGGUUAAUACCCCGCGAAACUGACGGUACCUGCAGAAUAAGCACCGGCUAACUACGUGCCAGCAGCCGCGGUAAUACGUAGGGUGCAAGCGUUAAUCGGAAUUACUGGGCGUAAAGCGUGCGCAGGCGGUUCGGAAAGAAAGAUGUGAAAUCCCAGAGCUUAACUUUGGAACUGCAUUUUUAACUACCGGGCUAGAGUGUGUCAGAGGGAGGUGGAAUUCCGCGUGUAGCAGUGAAAUGCGUAGAUAUGCGGAGGAACACCGAUGGCGAAGGCAGCCUCCUGGGAUAACACUGACGCUCAUGCACGAAAGCGUGGGGAGCAAACAUGAUUAGAUACCCUGGUAGUCCACGCCCUAAACGAUGUCAACUAGCUGUUGGGGCCUUCGGGCCUUGGUAGCGCAGCUAACGCGUGAAGUUGACCGCCUGGGGAGUACGGUCGCAAGAUU